UGCCCCUUAGCUCAGUCGGUUAGAGCACCUGACUGUUAAUCAGGGUGUCCUCGGUUCAAGUCCGAGAGGGGCAG
Molecule: transfer RNA, 74 nt
Filed under: Subdoligranulum variabile DSM 15176
Lineage: Bacteria; Bacillati; Bacillota; Clostridia; Eubacteriales; Oscillospiraceae
Rfam family: tRNA
About the family: Transfer RNA (tRNA) molecules are approximately 80 nucleotides in length. Their secondary structure includes four short double-helical elements and three loops (D, anti-codon, and T loops).
Source: Rfam by way of RNAcentral